RNAcentral lists this small nucleolar RNA (137 nucleotides) under Drosophila willistoni. RNAcentral's name for it is "snoRNA:GK26538". Lineage: Eukaryota; Metazoa; Arthropoda; Insecta; Diptera; Drosophilidae. The record is from RNAcentral.
UCAGUCCACCUCAAUGCCAGUUAGGGUUCAAUCUGUAACCAACUGGGCAUAAUCUUUUAAAGAAUGGACUGAGAAUAGCCUCUGAAAGGGUUUUAAUAUUAUCCUAGUGCCUGAAGAUUAUAAGCCUCCUCUUCCUG